RNAcentral lists this ribosomal RNA (433 nucleotides) under uncultured bacterium. RNAcentral's name for it is "partial 16S ribosomal RNA". It matches the Rfam family "Bacterial small subunit ribosomal RNA", at positions 29 to 507 of the family's 1533-position model. The record is from RNAcentral.
AACGAACGCUGGCGGCAUGCCUAACACAUGCAAGUCGAACGAGACCUUCGGGUCUAGUGGCGCACGGGUGCGUAACGCGUGGGAACCUGCACUUAGGUUCGGAAUAACUCCCCGAAAGGGGUGCUAAUACCGGAUAAUGUCUUCGGACCAAAGAUUUAUCGCCUUUGGAUGGGCCCGCGUUGGAUUCGCUAGUUGGUAGGGUAAAAGCCUACCAAGGCGACGAUCCAUAGCUGGUCUGAGAGGAUGAUCAGCCACACUGGGACUGAGACACGGCCCAGACUCCUACGGGAGGCAGCAGUGGGGAAUAUUGCACAAUGGGCGAAAGCCUGAUCCAGCAAUGCCGCGUGAGUGAUGAAGGCCUUAGGGUUGUAAAGCUCUUUUACCCGGGAUGAUAAUGACAGUACCGGGAGAAUAAGCUCCGGCUAACUCCGUG